This is a non-coding RNA of Pelobates cultripes (western spadefoot toad), 262 nucleotides long. The record is from the annotation of a GenBank genome assembly. Lineage: Eukaryota; Metazoa; Chordata; Amphibia; Anura; Pelobatidae.
GGGAGGGGGUGACUAGUGACAGAGUGAGAGAGGGAAGGGGUGACUAGUGACAGAGUGAGGGAGGAGGUGAUUAGUGACAGAGGGAGGGAUGGGGUGACUAGUGACAGUCACCACCUCCUUCACUCUGUCACUGUGUCACCCCCAUCCUCACUCUGUCACUGUGUCACCCCCUUCCUCACUCUGUCACUAGUCACCCACUCCCUCCCUCCCUCUGUCACUAGUCACCCCCUCUCUCACUCUGUCACUAGUCACCCCCUCUCUC